This 162-nucleotide small nuclear RNA is filed under the name Colletotrichum graminicola M1.001. The record is from RNAcentral. Lineage: Eukaryota; Fungi; Ascomycota; Sordariomycetes; Glomerellales; Glomerellaceae.
GCCUUCGGGCAUUUGGUCAAUUUGAAACGAUACAGAGAAGAUGUAUGUUCUAUACCCCUUUUCAGAGGCUGCAAGUUCGACCCAGAGUACUGACAUCUUCACAGUAGCAUGGCCCCUGCACUAAGGAUGACACGCUCAAUCAAAGAGAAGCUACCAAUUUUU